UACAGAGGUCCCAAGCGUUGUUCGGAUUCAUUGGGCGUAAAGGGUGCGUAGGCGGCGCGGUAAGUCGGGUGUGAAAUCUCGGGGCUUAACUCCGAAACUGCAUUCGAUACUGCCGUGCUUGAGGACUGGAGAGGAGACUGGAAUUUACGGUGUAGCGGUGAAAUGCGUAGAUAUCGUAAGGAAGACCAGUGGCGAAGGCGGGUCUCCUGGACAGUUCCUGACGCUGAGGCACGAAGGCCAGGGGAGCAAAACGGGG
RNAcentral lists this ribosomal RNA (256 nucleotides) under uncultured bacterium. RNAcentral describes it as "partial 16S ribosomal RNA". It matches the Rfam family "Bacterial small subunit ribosomal RNA", at positions 524 to 778 of the family's 1533-position model. The record is from RNAcentral.